This 407-nucleotide unclassified non-coding RNA is filed under the name Hevea brasiliensis (rubber tree). Lineage: Eukaryota; Viridiplantae; Streptophyta; Magnoliopsida; Malpighiales; Euphorbiaceae. The record is from RNAcentral.
UUCACCAGCACAAACAAAAAUAAAAAGCAUAGACGCAAAGUAAAAGAUAAUGAUAAUGUAAAACCUUAUCUCAUUAAGAGAUCAAAAUAUUUUCUGUUAAAAGUUGAAAUUCCUUACUAACCUGACGAAGCGCUUUAACUCAAUUUCUAUAUGUGUAGAGCACAUAACCCAUUUCCUUCCCCUCUUGUGUAAGUGUGUUGUGUGAACAAUUUCAGCAGCAUAAUGAUGAUACAAUUUCUUAACACAUACCAAUUAGUUAAUAUCUUAAGUGUUUUCAGAUAAAUAAAACCUAAAUGCAACCACAUUACCGUACUCUGCCAAAUUCAUUUUGGAACGUUAAAAGUAGUAAAAUGAACACUUUUCAAGUAGUUAAGAUACUACUUGAGGUAGUUUGAUUUCAUGGUGGG